Transfer RNA from Podospora anserina, 81 nucleotides. It matches the Rfam family "tRNA". From Rfam's summary of the family: Transfer RNA (tRNA) molecules are approximately 80 nucleotides in length. Their secondary structure includes four short double-helical elements and three loops (D, anti-codon, and T loops). NCBI's taxonomy places the organism in Eukaryota, Fungi, Ascomycota, Sordariomycetes, Sordariales, Podosporaceae. The record is from Rfam.
GUCGCUUUGGCGGAGUGGUUAACGCGCGGCCCUGCUAAGGCCGUUUCUUCGGAAGCGUAGGUUCGAAUCCUGCAGGCGACG